GACGAACGCUGGCGGCGUGCUAAACACAUGCAAGUCGAACGGAAAGGCCCUGCUUUUGUGGGGUGCUCGAGUGGCGAACGGGUGAGUAACACGUGAGUAACCUGCCCUUGACUUUGGGAUAACUUCAGGAAACUGGGGCUAAUACCGGAUAGGAGCUCCUGCUGCAUGGUGGGGGUUGGAAAGUUUCGGCGGUUGGGGAUGGACUCGCGGCUUAUCAGCUUGAUGGUGGGGUAGUGGCUUACCAAGGCUUUGACGGGUAGCCGGCCUGAGAGGGUGACCGGCCACAUUGGGACUGAGAUACGGCCCAGACUCCUACGGGAGGCAGCAGUGGGGAAUAUUGCACAAUGGGCGGAAGCCUGAUGCAGCAACGCCGCGUGCGGGAUGACGGCCUUCGGGUUGUAAACCGCUUUCGCCUGUGACGAAGCGUGAGUGACGGUAAUGGGUAAAGAAGCACCGGCUAACUACGUG
Molecule: ribosomal RNA, 468 nt
Filed under: uncultured bacterium
Lineage: Bacteria
Description: partial 16S ribosomal RNA
Rfam family: Bacterial small subunit ribosomal RNA
Source: RNAcentral